GACGAACGCUGGCGGCGUGCUUAACACAUGCAAGUCGAACGGAAAGGCCCUGCUUUUGUGGGGUGCUCGAGUGGCGAACGGGUGAGUAACACGUGAGUAACCUGCCCUUGACUUUGGGAUAACUUCAGGAAACUGGGGCUAAUACCGGAUAGGAGCUCCUGCUGCAUGGUGGGGGUUGGAAAGUUUCGGCGGUUGGGGAUGGACUCGCGGCUUAUCAGCUUGUUGGUGGGGUAGUGGCUUACCAAGGCUUUGACGGGUAGCCGGCCUGGGAGGGUGACCGGCCACAUUGGCACUGAGAGACGGCCCAGACUCCUACGGGAGGCAGCAGUGGGGAAUAUUGCACAAUGGGCGGAAGCCUGAUGCAGCAACGCCGCGUGCGGGAUGACGGCCUUCGGGUUGGAAACCGCUUUCGCCUGUGACGAAGCGUGAGUGACGGUAAUGGGUAAAGAAGCACCGGCUAACUACGU
Molecule: ribosomal RNA, 467 nt
Filed under: uncultured bacterium
Lineage: Bacteria
Description: partial 16S ribosomal RNA
Rfam family: Bacterial small subunit ribosomal RNA
Source: RNAcentral